Molecule: long non-coding RNA, 159 nt
Organism: Zingiber officinale
Lineage: Eukaryota; Viridiplantae; Streptophyta; Magnoliopsida; Zingiberales; Zingiberaceae
Exons: 3
Source: RefSeq, a predicted model, not a curated record
GCUUCUAAGUUUCUUUUACAGUGGCUUGUUGAGCACCCACAGUUCAUCUCCAAUCCCCUCUACAUUGCUGGGGAUUCAUAUGCUAUAAAAAUUGUACCUAUGGUGGCCAAAAGAAUAUUGGAUGGUAUUGAUGAAGGGAAAGAACCAUUACUUAACCUC